Molecule: ribosomal RNA, 370 nt
Filed under: uncultured organism
Description: bacterial SSU rRNA
Rfam family: Bacterial small subunit ribosomal RNA
Source: RNAcentral
CGUAGGGUGCAAGCGUUAAUCGGAAUUACUGGGCGUAAAGCGUGCGCAGGCGGUUUGGUAAGACAGAUGUGAAAUCCCCGGGCUCAACCUGGGAAUUGCAUUUGUGACUGCCCGGCUAGAGUGUGUCAGAGGGGGGUAGAAUUCCACGUGUAGCAGUGAAAUGCGUAGAUAUGUGGAGGAAUACCGAUGGCGAAGGCAGCCCCCUGGGAUAACACUGACGCUCAUGCACGAAAGCGUGGGGAGCAAACAGGAUUAGAUACCCUGGUAGUCCACGCCCUAAACGAUGUCUACUAGUUGUCGGGUCUUAAUUGACUUGGUAACGCAGCUAACGCGUGGAGUAGACCGCCUGGGGAGUACGGUCGCAAGAUUA